This is a non-coding RNA of Cicer arietinum (chickpea), 555 nucleotides long. The record is from RefSeq and is a predicted model, not a curated record. NCBI's taxonomy places the organism in Eukaryota, Viridiplantae, Streptophyta, Magnoliopsida, Fabales, Fabaceae.
AAAAAAGAGUUGUUAGUUGAGAAUUGAGAAUUGUUGUUAGGUUUGGAAGAGAAUGGGAAGAAAAGAAUCUAUUCGUUGUUACUUCUUCCUCACCAGCUUCUUGUUCAUCCUCUGAUCGUGUCAGCUUAGGGUUUUUCUUCUGAUUUAGCCACCAUCGUCACACUUUGCGGCCAUCGAAUCUUAACCUCUUUAAGUUGCAUCUCAACUUCGUUGUGUCAUCUAACCUCUUUGUAAGUGUUGCAUGCCACUCUAUUUUAUUUCAGUAUCAUUUCUUGCCAUUUUUCAUUAUUCUCGUUUCAUUAUUCAUUUUCGUUAAUUGUAGUGAGUUAGGGUUUUGAUUUUCUUCUGAUUUAGUGUUUUUGUGUGUUGUUUCUUUGAACAUUUUCAAUGUCGCCAUUGCUACAUGCAUAGAGGUAUUGAUGCUGAUUCAAUGUCCCUGUCAAUUAUUAUUUCCAUUGUCGCCAUUUUCCACUUUGUUGUUUGGUUUUGCUUAGUUUUGUUGGACUUUCAGGUACAAGCUAAUGUUUGUCUUGUACUACUUUAUUUAUUUGCAAG